RNAcentral lists this ribosomal RNA (344 nucleotides) under Salmonella enterica. RNAcentral's name for it is "partial 23S ribosomal RNA". It matches the Rfam family "Bacterial large subunit ribosomal RNA", at positions 1 to 381 of the family's 2925-position model. Lineage: Bacteria; Pseudomonadati; Pseudomonadota; Gammaproteobacteria; Enterobacterales; Enterobacteriaceae. The record is from RNAcentral.
GGUUAAGCGACUAAGCGUACACGGUGGAUGCCCUGGCAGUCAGAGGCGAUGAAGGGCGUGCUAAUCUGCGAUAAGCGCCGGUAAGGUGAUAUGAACCGUUAUAACCGGCGAUACCCGAAUGGGGAAACCCAGUGUGAUUCGUCACACUAUCAUUAACUGAAUCCAUAGGUUAAUGAGGCGAACCGGGGGAACUGAAACAUCUAAGUACCCCGAGGAAAAGAAAUCAACCGAGAUUCCCCCAGUAGCGGCGAGCGAACGGGGAGGAGCCCAGAGCCUGAAUCAGCAUGUGUGUUAGUGGAAGCGUCUGGAAAGGCGCGCGAUACAGGGUGACAGCCCCGUACACA